This 253-nucleotide ribosomal RNA is filed under the name uncultured bacterium. Its description in RNAcentral is "partial 16S ribosomal RNA". It matches the Rfam family "Bacterial small subunit ribosomal RNA", at positions 524 to 776 of the family's 1533-position model. The record is from RNAcentral.
UACGUAGGGGGCAAGCGUUGUCCGGAAUUAUUGGGCGUAAAGAGCGCGUAGGCGGUCCGAUAAGUCGGCUGUGAAAGUCAGGGGCUCAACCCUUGAAAGCCGGCCGAUACUGUCGGACUAGAGUCCGGAAGAGGCAAGUGGAAUUCCCGGUGUAGCGGUGAAAUGCGCAGAUAUCAGGAAGAACACCAAUGGCGAAAGCAGCUCUCUGGGACGGUACUGACGCUGAGACGCGAAAGCGUGGGGAGCGAACAGG